Molecule: RNA transcript, 1414 nt
Organism: Culex pipiens pallens (northern house mosquito)
Lineage: Eukaryota; Metazoa; Arthropoda; Insecta; Diptera; Culicidae
Exons: 3
Source: RefSeq, a predicted model, not a curated record
CGUAGCGACGUCAUGCAACCAAGCAAGCUGAUGGUUGCCAGAAGAGCUGUCGAGUUCAUGCAAAAUGAUUGCCACAUAUUUUAUUCAUUUAAAAUGUUUAAAACAAAGCAAUUUGUUAUUCUAUGAACCAACAUAUCAUGUUUGCUUUGUUAUAUUAUAGAAGGGGAAAUAGAGUGUCAUUUCGUCACCUUUGUCUAAUCUAAUCGAUAGAUAAUGAAAUAUUGAUCAAGGAAAAUCUAGUAGAAACCAGUACCUAAAUCAGAGCAAAUAAAUAACCGAUCGAACAAUGCUUUACUGUACAGUGUCCAAUUAGUCGUUUAACCAGCACGAUGGAGUUCCUGGCCGCCCAAGACCCCUUCGAGGUCAUGCCGUUCUUCAAGAAAGUUUUGACCGCCACAGGGUUAGGUUGGCCCCGGCGCAACUUGCGAAAAUUCGCACUGACUUUGCUGUUUCCGUGGUUGGUCGUUUUGGUGCCCAUGUUGGGUUACAGGUUCGGCAGCCAGGUGGACCUGAUGAUUCGUGGCUAUUCGGAGCUGCUGGUGCUGUUCAACAUUGAGAUUCGAGUGUUGAUUUUUGCGUGGAAGCAGGCCGAGUUUGAGGAUAUGAUCGCCGUCCUGCAGGGCGUUUUUGAUAAAGUUCGUUCUUAUGGUGCCAAAUCACAUGAGUUCAAAAUGGUAACGGUCACUAACCAAGCAAUGGAUAAAGCUGCAAAAGCAUAUAUGACCUUUCCACUGAUAUUAUUGAUAUUUUUUCUAAUGGUACCAUUGCUUCAAACAACUGCAAUUUACGUAAUGAAUCGUCAGAAUGGAACCAUUGAGCAGGAUUUUAUUACAAUGACUGAAAUUCAGUAAGUUAAUCUGAAACGAAUGACUUGAAAAGUGAUUUAUUAAUUUAUGAUUUCUUAUAACAGCUUUUACGAUUUGGAUAUUCGUCGGAACAUUUUUCACUAUUUGAUAUAUUAUGUUUGUGCAUUCGCAAGCCAUUGUAUUUACGGCUUCAGAGUGUCUAUAUCUGGAAUUGUAGCUUCGGGUAGUAUUAGGAGCAUCAAUUUAAUUUUCGAUUUAGUUUCGCACAAACUUGAAAAGAUUCAUGAAUUCUCUGGCAAAGAGUUGCGUGAUCAUUUUGCCGAAAUCGUCAAUAUGCACGCUGAUGGAUUACGGUAACUUUACGUGAAAUUUAAUGCAUAAAAUAAACAUCUUUUUGACUAUUUCAGAUGCAUUCGUAUUUUCGAGAGAUUGUCAAAUGUUGCAGUUCUAGUGCAGAUGGUUGAUACCGCACUCAUUUGGAUAUGUAUGAUUUUGUGUGUCACUAAUAACCCUACUAAAAACUCAUUGAACCUGGUGGUGCUUUUAGUUAUGAUAUCCUCUGAAACGUACGCAUUCUGCAAAUUGGGCAAUGAGCUAACAGAAAAGGU